This 255-nucleotide unclassified non-coding RNA is filed under the name Hevea brasiliensis (rubber tree). Lineage: Eukaryota; Viridiplantae; Streptophyta; Magnoliopsida; Malpighiales; Euphorbiaceae. The record is from RNAcentral.
GAAAGACAUGCAUGGGAAGUUAGUGCCGCCCAUUGUGAGAUUUAUGUGUUAGUGCAUGUGGCGCAUUAAAUGUUCCUUAGUGGAGCGCAUGUGAAGCACAUGAGAAAUGGAAAUUGCAUGGCUUAAUUCACAUGCAUGUGCAUGACAUGGUAUGGCUACAUGAAGAUUUGGUAAUUGUGGUAGUGGAAUACCACGUGGGGACCAAAGUGGCCAAAUGUAUUUGUGCAUGGUUAUGGGACAAAUGGGGCGCACUAA